GCCAGGCAUGGUGGUGCAUGCCUGUAAUCCCAGCACUUGGGAGGCUGAGGCAGGAGGAUCACUAUGAGUUUGAGAAGAGCCUGGGCUACAUAGUGAGUUCCAGCUCAGUCUCAACUACAUAGUGAGACCCUGUCUCAA
Fukomys damarensis (Damara mole-rat) is the source of this 138-nucleotide non-coding RNA. NCBI's taxonomy places the organism in Eukaryota, Metazoa, Chordata, Mammalia, Rodentia, Bathyergidae. The record is from Rfam.